GAUGAACGCUGGCGGCGUGCCUAAUACAUGCAAGUCGAGCGAACAGACGAGGAGCUUGCUCCUCUGACGUUAGCGGCGGACGGGUGAGUAACACGUGGAUAACCUACCUAUAAAACUGGGAUAACUUCGGGAAACCGGAGCUAAUACCGGAUAAUAUAUUGAACCGCAUGGUUCAAUAGUGAAAGACGGUUUUGCUGUCACUUAUAGAUGGAUCCACGCCGCAUUAGCUAGUUGGUAAGGUAACGGCUUACCAAGGCGACGAUGCGUAGCCGACAUGAGAGGGUGAUCGACCACACUGGAACUGAGACACGGUCCAGACUCCUACGGGAGGCAGCAGUAGGGAAUCUUCCGCGAUGGGCGAAAGCCUGACGGAGCAACGCCGCGUGAGUGAUGAAGGUCUUCGGAUCGUAAAACUCUGUUAUUAGGGAAGAACAAAUGUGUAAGUAACUAUGCACGUCUUGACGGUACCUAAUCAGAAAGCCACGGCUAACUACGUG
Molecule: ribosomal RNA, 497 nt
Filed under: uncultured bacterium
Lineage: Bacteria
Description: partial 16S ribosomal RNA
Rfam family: Bacterial small subunit ribosomal RNA
Source: RNAcentral